Molecule: non-coding RNA, 99 nt
Filed under: Nomascus leucogenys (northern white-cheeked gibbon)
Lineage: Eukaryota; Metazoa; Chordata; Mammalia; Primates; Hylobatidae
Description: Mitochondrial DNA control region secondary structure A
Rfam family: Mitochondrial DNA control region secondary structure A
Source: Rfam by way of RNAcentral
GAUUGCUAUGGACCAAAGGUACAACCCAAGUAUUGACUCACCUCCCCAAUAAUUUUAUGUAUCUCGUGCAUUACUGUUAGUCCCCAUGAAUAUUAUAUA